This is a long non-coding RNA of Anguilla anguilla (European eel), 440 nucleotides long. RefSeq lists it as uncharacterized. The record is from RefSeq and is a predicted model, not a curated record. NCBI's taxonomy places the organism in Eukaryota, Metazoa, Chordata, Actinopteri, Anguilliformes, Anguillidae. The transcript is spliced from 4 exons.
GUCACAUAAGACUUAAUUGGUCUGUGGUUUCAUCAUCUAAACCAUAAUCUGAAACCUCGGCAAAAACAUUACAACGUAUAUUGAAUGACGCUUCACGAUCUCCACGUGAACAAAGCUGUGUUAGCUCAUCUAAACCUAUUGUAGUUUCCUCAAUCCGCAUACAGCCGAAGAAAGCAAGCAACGAAACUGCUCACCGUUGAGGGGUGCCUUGUCAGAAGUGAAGCAGCAUAUCUGUGAUUCAAGGUCCCCCUCUAGUGGUGCCUAGCGGGCACUGGACCAUUGAGGAACAGAAUGAAGAUAGAAAGGUGAUCAAGCCUUUUCUGUGCAGGUCCCUAAAUUAUGAAUUUCUUUACCAGAGAACAUCAGAGCAGCAACCUCAUCGGGCUCCACAUUGUCACCAUAUGAGAGGCAGGGAUUGUGGAGCACGACACUGCAGGAAA